Molecule: ribosomal RNA, 377 nt
Filed under: uncultured bacterium
Lineage: Bacteria
Description: bacterial SSU rRNA
Rfam family: Bacterial small subunit ribosomal RNA
Source: RNAcentral
UAAGACGGAGGGUGCAAGCGUUGUUCGGAAUUACUGGGCGUAAAGCGUACGUAGGCGGCGGAUUAAGUCGAAUGUUAAAGCCUGGGGCUCAACCCCAGAGAUGCACUCGAUACUGGUCUGCUAGAGGGCGAUAGAGGAAAGCGGAAUUCCCAGUGUAGCGGUGAAAUGCGUAGAUAUUGGGAGGAACAUCAGUAGCGAAGGCGGCUUUCUGGGUCGCACCUGACGCUCAGGUACGAAAGCGUGGGGAGCAAACGGGAUUAGAUACCCCGGUAGUCCACGCCGUAAACGAUGGAUGCUAGGUGUAGCGGGUAUCGACCCCUGCUGUGCCGUAGCCAACGCGUUAAGCAUCCCGCCUGGGGAGUACGGUCGCAAGACUG